RNAcentral lists this transfer RNA (71 nucleotides) under Candidatus Aenigmatarchaeota archaeon. Its description in RNAcentral is "tRNA-Gly". It matches the Rfam family "tRNA". Rfam says of the family: Transfer RNA (tRNA) molecules are approximately 80 nucleotides in length. Their secondary structure includes four short double-helical elements and three loops (D, anti-codon, and T loops). Lineage: Archaea; Nanobdellati; Candidatus Aenigmatarchaeota. The record is from RNAcentral.
GCGCCGGUAGUCUAGCGGUAGGAUCCAGGCCUUCCAAGCCUGUGACGCGGGUUCGAUUCCCGCCCGGCGCA